Molecule: unclassified non-coding RNA, 353 nt
Filed under: Hevea brasiliensis (rubber tree)
Lineage: Eukaryota; Viridiplantae; Streptophyta; Magnoliopsida; Malpighiales; Euphorbiaceae
Source: RNAcentral
GUCUGCUCAUCUUGAUUAUUUACUGCAAGAAGUUUGCAUAAAAAAACCAUCAAUCUUAUUGCUAAAUGCGACACUAAUUCCAUGAGUUGAGCUGAAUCGUACAAGAUCAAACAAUACUAGUACAAAAUAUGAAGGAUCUAGAAUCACCGGUAAGCAGGGAGAACCUAAACAAGAGAAAUUGAGAAGUUGUGACACUAUCAACACGGGACCUAUUAAUUAAAAGAACUAACAAAUUAAUCCAGAAGAGAACAAUAAUAAUGGAAUUACAACUCCAGAAUCUUCCAUUUGUUUCCUCAGAAAUAUUACAUCAAAAUCAUAUCAAAGAACCCGUAAGUCAAAUUUCAACUCCAAUU